Molecule: non-coding RNA, 1681 nt
Organism: Oryctolagus cuniculus (rabbit)
Lineage: Eukaryota; Metazoa; Chordata; Mammalia; Lagomorpha; Leporidae
Source: RefSeq, a predicted model, not a curated record
GCCGGGCACCUCACCUGGCCGGGCACCUCACCUGGCCAGGCACCAGGGGUUGACUCUGGAGCUGGUGACAGCCAUCAAGCAGGUGAAAUUCUGACAUUGGUUAGCAACGGCAUGGACAGAACUGGAAGAAAUACUGGUGACAGAAACAAGCCACGCAGAGGGAGACAGGUUGUCUUCAUCAGCGACGCUGUGGCGGUUCUAACUCCUGUCUGACUACGGGCUGUGGUCCUGAUUCCGAACACAAAGCACAGGAAGUGUCUCACGUGUGGUGACCCCACGUGCUGCCCGGGUUAGAUGUGGAAGGGCAGCACACGGCAGAGGACAGGCCUUUCAGGAGGGCCCGUGGUCCGGAGUCCGGGUUGUGCCAGGCCACCUCGAGCUUGGAGAUGAUACUUAGUCCACAGGGCCAGGCUGGAGACAAUCUGGCAGGAUCCUGGAGGAGAGAACCUUUACCAGUGCCUGUGCCAGCGACUCCUCGCCUCCCGCUGUGUCACCUCCCCAGGUGCAGGGGUUAGUGCGUGAGCCCUGGGAAAGACAAGCUCUGGGCUUGAAUCCCAGUGUGCCCCUAACAAGCCGUGGAUGUUGGCCUCAAUGUACUCACCUGGAAGCCAAGGCACGAAAACCACUGAAGCAGGCAGGGCGGUGUCCAGGUCAGGAGUGAACCAGUGCAGCCAGUGCCGGGCUCGGGACUGAGAGCAGCCGUGGAGAGCCGCCAGGCUUCGAGCAGCAGAGUCCCGGGAAGCGGCCCCCGCAGGAGCUUCCGUCCGUCCGGGAGAGCUUGGGCACAGAAAGCACGUGCAGGACAAACGUGAGGAGGGAAGCAGCGCUCGCCGUGGGAGGCAGGAUCGCAGGCACCACCACUUCGAGGGCGGGGCAAGCUUUCUGCCCUUAAACAGAAAACCUUAAGCUCUGUGACCCACGGGGACCCCUUGUGGCUGCCAACCGGUGUGUCCGUCCUCCACCCGCGUAUCUGUUCAGGCACCCAGCCCUCCACCUGGCCCUCUGGCCCUCCUCCCACCCCUCCUGCUCCUCCCCUCCCACCCCUCCUCCUCCUUCCCCCCCACCCCUCCAUCCUCCCCUCCAGUUUCCAUACCCUGUCAUUCUCUGCAGUGGCCUCAGGCCAGGCUUCACCCUGAGGUUCUGGAGCCGCACACGUCUUGCAGGUGGCACACGGGACACUGGGGAGCUGAGUGGGGAAACAAGGAGGGAGCAGUAGCUCUGACAGCUCAGCUGGAGUCGGCGCAGCUGCUGACCAAAGGAAGAAGAGACGUAGGGAAAGCUUGGAGGAGGAGAGCAUCCCCGCGCGCCCUCGGGACUGUCCCCCCCGGGCGCUGGGCGGUGCAGUGGGGUUGCUGUGGCCUCUGCCUCACCUGCUGUAGGAGUUAAUCUGUCAGGAGACAGACUUGCUCCAGAGGCUGAAGUAGACCUAACAAGGUUCUGGACGCGAAGUCUCUAUCUACUGUGGGCACUACAGAUGAUUCAGGCCUCGGUAGGAGAUUCAGUGCCACGUAUUCCACUGCGUGUUUGCUGCGUGCUUGCUGUCUGGUUGUAGCUUCCUGACUGUGGUGAGCCAGGUGUUUGCCCCUGGCGUCACCAUCAUGAGAUGACAAUUGCUGAAGCCUAAGGUAUGAAUUAAUAUUACAAUAUCAUAUCAUAUAUCAUAUCAUCGUAUAUCAUGAUA